GGGUUGUGAGGUUAAGCGACUAAGCGUACACGGUGGAUGCCCGGCAGUCAGAGGCGAUGAAGGACGUGCUAAUCUGCGAAAAGCGUCGGUAAGGUGAUAUGAACCGUUAUAACCGGCGAUGUCCGAAUGGGGAAACCCAGUGCAAUUCGUUGCACUAUCGUUAACUGAAUACAUAGGUUAACGAGGCGAACCGGGGGAACUGAAACAUCUAAGUACCCCGAGGAAAAGAAAUCAACCGAGAUUCCCCCAGUAGCGGCGAGCGAACGGGGAGCAGCCCAGAGUCUGAAUCAGCUUGUGUGUUAGUGGAACGGUCUGGAAAGUCCGACGGUACAGGGUGAUAGUCCCGUACACCAAAAUGCACAGGCUGUGAACUCGAAGAGUAGGGCGGGACACGUGGUAUCCUGUCUGAAUAUGGGGGGACCAUCCUCCAAGGCUAAAUACUCCUGACUGACCGAUAGUGAACCAGUACCGUGAGGGAAAGGCGAAAAGAACCCCGGCGAGGGGAGUGAAAAGAACCUGAAACCGUGUACGUACAAGCAGUGGGAGCACCUUCGGGUGUGACUGCGUACCUUUGUAUAAUGGGUCAGCGACUUAUAUUCUGUAGCAAGGUUAACCGUAUAGGGGAGCCGCAGGGAAACCGAGUCUUAACUGGGCGUUAAGUUGCAGGGUAUAGACCCGAAACCCGGUGAUCUAGCCAUGGGCAGGUUGAAGGUUGGGUAACACUAACUGGAGGACCGAACCGACUAAUGUUGAAAAAUUAGCGGAUGACUUGUGGCUGGGGGUGAAAGGCCAAUCAAACCGGGAGAUAGCUGGUUCUCCCCGAAAGCUAUUUAGGUAGCGCCUCGUGAAUUCAUCUUCGGGGGUAGAGCACUGUUUCGGCUAGGGGGUCAUCCCGACUUACCAACCCGAUGCAAACUACGAAUACCGAAGAAUGUUAUCACGGGAGACACACGGCGGGUGCUAACGUCCGUCGUGAAGAGGGAAACAACCCAGACCGCCAGCUAAGGUCCCAAAGUCAUGGUUAAGUGGGAAACGAUGUGGGAAGGCACAGACAGCCAGGAUGUUGGCUUAGAAGCAGCCAUCAUUUAAAGAAAGCGUAAUAGCUCACUGGUCGAGUCGGCCUGCGCGGAAGAUGUAACGGGGCUAAACCAUGCACCGAAGCUGCGGCAGCGACACUAUGUGUUGUUGGGUAGGGGAGCGUUCUGUAAGCCUGCGAAGGUGUGCUGUGAGGCAUGCUGGAGGUAUCAGAAGUGCGAAUGCUGACAUAAGUAACGAUAAAGCGGGUGAAAAGCCCGCUCGCCGGAAGACCAAGGGUUCCUGUCCAACGUUAAUCGGGGCAGGGUGAGUCGACCCCUAAGGCGAGGCCGAAAGGCGUAGUCGAUGGGAAACAGGUUAAUAUUCCUGUACUUGGUGUUACUGCGAAGGGGGGACGGAGAAGGCUAUGUUAGCCGGGCGACGGUUGUCCCGGUUUAAGCAUGUAGGCUGAUUGUCCAGGCAAAUCCGGAUAAUCAAGGCUGAGGUGUGAUGACGAGGCACUACGGUGCUGAAGUAACAAAUGCCCUGCUUCCAGGAAAAGCCUCUAAGCAUCAGGUAACAUCAAAUCGUACCCCAAACCGACACAGGUGGUCAGGUAGAGAAUACCAAGGCGCUUGAGAGAACUCGGGUGAAGGAACUAGGCAAAAUGGUGCCGUAACUUCGGGAGAAGGCACGCUGGUGUGUAGGUGAAGUCCCUGCGGAUGGAGCUGAGACCAGUCGAAGAUACCAGCUGGCUGCAACUGUUUAUUAAAAACACAGCACUGUGCAAACACGAAAGUGGACGUAUACGGUGUGACGCCUGCCCGGUGCCGGAAGGUUAAUUGAUGGGGUUAUCCGUAAGGAGAAGCUCUUGAUCGAAGCCCCGGUAAACGGCGGCCGUAACUAUAACGGUCCUAAGGUAGCGAAAUUCCUUGUCGGGUAAGUUCCGACCUGCACGAAUGGCGUAAUGAUGGCCAGGCUGUCUCCACCCGAGACUCAGUGAAAUUGAACUCGCUGUGAAGAUGCAGUGUACCCGCGGCAAGACGGAAAGACCCCGUGAACCUUUACUAUAGCUUGACACUGAACAUUGAGCCUUGAUGUGUAGGAUAGGUGGGAGGCUUUGAAGCGUGGACGCCAGUCUGCGUGGAGCCAACCUUGAAAUACCACCCUUUAAUGUUUGAUGUUCUAACGUUGGCCCCUUACCGGGGUUGCGGACAGUGUCUGGUGGGUAGUUUGACUGGGGCGGUCUCCUCCCAAAGCGUAACGGAGGAGCACGAAGGUUAGCUAAUCCUGGUCGGACAUCAGGAGGUUAGUGCAAUGGCAUAAGCUAGCUUGACUGCGAGCGUGACGGCGCGAGCAGGUGCGAAAGCAGGUCAUAGUGAUCCGGUGGUUCUGAAUGGAAGGGCCAUCGCUCAACGGAUAAAAGGUACUCCGGGGAUAACAGGCUGAUACCGCCCAAGAGUUCAUAUCGACGGCGGUGUUUGGCACCUCGAUGUCGGCUCAUCACAUCCUGGGGCUGAAGUAGGUCCCAAGGGUAUGGCUGUUCGCCAUUUAAAGUGGUACGCGAGCUGGGUUUAGAACGUCGUGAGACAGUUCGGUCCCUAUCUGCCGUGGGCGCUGGAGAAUUGAGGGGGGCUGCUCCUAGUACGAGAGGACCGGAGUGGACGCAUCACUGGUGUUCGGGUUGUCAUGCCAAUGGCACUGCCCGGUAGCUAAAUGCGGAAGAGAUAAGUGCUGAAAGCAUCUAAGCACGAAACUUGCCCCGAGAUGAGUUCUCCCUGAGACUUUAAGUCUCCUGAAGGAACGUUAAAGACGAUGACGUUGAUAGGCCGGGUGUGUAAGCGCAGCGAUGCGUUGAGCUAACCGGUACUAAUGAACCGUGAGGCUUAACCUUACAACGCCGAAG
This 2920-nucleotide ribosomal RNA is filed under the name Klebsiella pneumoniae. RNAcentral's name for it is "23S ribosomal RNA". It matches the Rfam family "Bacterial large subunit ribosomal RNA". The record is from RNAcentral. Lineage: Bacteria; Pseudomonadati; Pseudomonadota; Gammaproteobacteria; Enterobacterales; Enterobacteriaceae.